UCUGUUCCGCUCUGCAGCCUCAGGAGUGCCCACCUGACCAGGCGGUAAGGUCUCUUUCCCAUGGGGUCUGGGAGCAGAGAGCUGCUGCGGGCCGGGAUCCGCAGGUGUGGGAGAAGCACUUUUUUAAAUUAACAAUUUUGAGGCAAGGCCUAGACCAUUGCUUAUGGUGCUAUGAGAGAGCAGGGGGUCCUGCCAUGUUUAAAAGAUCUAGCUGCACAAGCUUUGGUGAGCACACUAGUAAAAAGAAGUCUUCCAUGGCCUAUGCUUGGGUUACUGCAUUCAGGUUCCUUACCUAAGUUUCCUUUGAUGUACUAUAAACCAUAAGCAGAAAUAAACCUUUUCCUUCUCCAGUUGAUUUUGGUCAUCAUCGUUCUCAACUAUCAGAAAAAGAGAAAGCUAACUUAAACAUCGGUAUGUACAUUUUUAUGACUUGAUCCUCUUCCCUUUCUUCUGAACUGAAAUGUGAGACAGAGUUAAGUGUAAACUAAUCUGAAUGCAGACCUUCAAAACAAGAUACUGAGGUUGAAUUUGGUAGAGUUAUACAAAGGAAAAGGAAGACAAUAGUGUGUGUGUGUGUGUGUGGGUGUGUGUGUGUGUGUGUGUCUGUGUGUGUGAGAGAGAGAGAGAGAGAGACAGAGACAGAGACAGAGACAGAGGCAGAAAAAAACAGAUUCAUAGAGAAGAGACAAAGAGGACAGAAAGACACCCACAUAUGUAUAUGGGGGGGGGAGAGAGAGAGAGAGAGAGAGAGAGAGAGAGAGAGAGAGAGAAUUUGAAUGUUUUACAGAUGGGAAAAAUAGUUUCUCUGGACUUGGACUACUGAAAGUUAUUAAUUGAAAGUUCAUCUCUUCAAAAAAUCAUCCACUCUUUCCUCCAGUUAUAGAUGAGGAGUUUUCUGAAAGUCACAAAUAAUGGGGUUAUGAGUACCCCACUAUUCCCCAUUAAAGGAAAGAAUCCCUUCUCCCUCUUACUGCUCCUGGUGGUUACAUCAAGGCAUUCUUGGCUUGUGACUAAAGCACUCCAAUCCCUGACUUGUCUCUAUUUUAUAUUCCCUUCCACGAUGUAUUUUUAUAAAGACAUGACUGAAGAAUUCAUAGCUCAUAUUAAUCUAGUGUAAUCACAUUCCAAGUCACCAUCAUACAGACCGUUGUUAAUAAUACCCUUAAGAAUGUGGUAUCAUUCUGAGCUUCUGGGAAUUGGGUUUUUACCAUAUAUUCUUGAGACUCAAUUGAAUUCAUGGUUGAAAUGUUCUUUUUUCUUGGUUACAUUCCCCUAAAGUGCUAACAUUCCUUACAGUUACAGUUAAAAGUGUUUCUUCUUUAGUGAAAUGAUGUUAGAUGUGUUUGUAUGAGCAUGCAUUCAUGGACGGGCUCUAUUUGUAUCUGCAGAGUUUGGAUCUGGCAUCCUCUGUAAAAGUUCAUGGGCUAAAGGAUUGUUCUGAAGUUCAUCACUCUGGAGAACUGUCAGAAUCUUCAAAGUGUGGAAUCUUUUGGCAGGAAGCUAUGAGGUGUGUUCUAUAAGGGCAUAUUAUGAGUCACUAUCAUUCUAUCUAUGCCACCUAGAUACCAUAAACUGUACAGCUUUGGUCUACCACACACAGUCAAUCAUCAUGGUACUCAGGCCUCAAAGCACCAGAUGAGCCAAAUGUGGACCAAGGUCUCCAAAACUAACCACGGAGAGGGAAAUGGAAGAGACCGAGUUGCUGAAAAUUUCCCAAAGAUCCACAAAUUUGCCAAAGUGAAGGAUCCAGGACUAUCCAGGUUGUCAAACUAUCUUUCUUCUUAGAAAAGAAAAAAGAAAGGAGGUUUGAGAGCGUAGCUUAUAAGACAUUGGAGUUUACAGUAGCCGGUGGAUGCUUGGGAUAAAUGAUAUUUGUUAGAGUCAAUAGCCUGGGAGUCCUGCAGUUGAGCAAGAGAAAGACGUGGCCCAUGAUUUUUGCCAAAACUCCAAGGGAAGGCAAAGAAAAGGGAAAAGGCUAUCAUUCCUCAGGCAGAGUUCAACAGGAAGAGAAAGCAAUGUUCUCUGCACAUGAAGUUCCAGGCUGACAUGAGAGUCCUUCAAAAUGCUAGCCACAGGACUUUCCUGAACACAUUGGAGUUUCAUGGGUUUGCCAUAUCAUAAAGCUAAUUAGGCCCAGGCAGAAAGAAGCUCAACAUUCCAAAACCCAGCUAGUUUCUUUAAGAGGUACUGAAAAUUGAACACAAUCCCCUGCUUGUGAGGACUCCUAAGUGAACCCUACAGCUGUCAUUUAUUUUGUAGCAACACCACCACCACCACUACCACAACCAGCACCGCCACCAACAACGACAACAAGAAAAGUAAUAUAAAAAGCCUGUAAGAAGUCUCUCUGGUCGUCUCAUAAUUCUUGGACACUGCUGAUCUGCAACCAAUGUGCACCAUUAUCUAAGGCCAACUUUAAGUUCUUCAAGUUGGAUUUUGCUUCAUGUACACCUGGAAGAGAAGGUGUUUACCAUGGCAGGAGGCACAUUUCCCUGAGACAGGCUGACUGAGUUAAAGACCAGAGACUCUAGUGCUAGACUUGUAAUUCUGAGUAAAAAUUCUGGUUCAGAAUGCACAAGAUACAAUUCACAGACCACAUGAAGCUCAACAAGAAGGAAGACCAAAAUGUGGAUGCUUCAGUCCUUCUUAGAAGGGGGAAUAAAAUACUCAUGCGAGGAAAUACAGGGACAACGUAUGGAGCAAAGACUGAAGGAAAGGCCAUCCAGAGACUGUCCCACCUGGGGAUCCAUACCAUAUGCAGCCACCAAACCCAGUCACUAUUGCUGAUGACAAAGAAAAGAUCUCUAUUGCCAAAGGGUACAGCAUUCCUGAAGAGAAAUAGUCUUUCUUCAGCUGAUGUUAACUGUCUCCUCAAAACCUUCCAUAUUAAGCAGAAACAUGUGUCUGAUGCCUCCUUAUCUUUUGUUCAUCCAUUCCUCCACCUGAAGCAGAAUGUGAAGACUGACAAUCCAACUGAAUUUGUCUGAUGUUUUCUCUCAUGAUUGCAAUGGGGUAAUGGAUUUUGUGAACACCAAGGAGAACUAUGAUAUUCAUCCACAUGAGAAUACUGGCAUAUUAGCAUCACCUUGUGGAGGAAACUAAAGGAGAUCAGACACACAUCACCUGACACCUCUUUUGUCAUCUAAUAGAGUACACGCAUCGAAGAAAUGACUUCUAUAGUGAGAACAGACACCCCACAAACAACACUGUAAGGAUCAGCAAAAUCAAGCAAGAAGAAUAGUUAGCAACUAUAAAUAUAGUUUCUCAAUUUGCUUCAUGUAAAUUUGAGAAAUAUGCUGUCGUGGCAUAAGAAAAUAUUACCCCAGAGAGGACAUCUGAGCCAACUGCUCCCACACACAGAAUUCCAGGCAGGCAACAGCAAUUCCUGAUGUGGGUAGCUGAAAGCCUCCUUCUUCACAGUAAAGGCUUCUUUGGUUCUGUAUACCUGUAUUUUAUGACCACUAUCCAUAUGAUGCGUAUCAUUUGAGGACUGGGUUAUCUCACUCAAGAUGAUAUUCUCAAGCUCCAUCCAUUUGCCUACAAGAAAUUAUUUGUUCUUGGUUUCCUGAGGAAGAGACAAUAAAUAUAGGAACCUGGAAUAAAGAUGAAGAAAGACUUCAAAAUUAUUAUGAUGUACAUGGACCAGGUAAUGUUCCUGUAGAUGCUUUCAGUCUUUGGGCUAGGAGACUGAAAUGAGUUUCAGAGAAGCAUCCUCCCCCUCUGUCCAGGGAUACCUUGGUGAAGAAAAGAGAAAGCUUGUGGUAGAGGCACCAUCACUGUGCUUUCCAUAGAUGACUUGUGAUUCAACCCAGCCAGUUAGGGUUUAAGAAAAAGGUGUUUAUGGAAAAGGUUUGAGAUUGACAAAUGCAAAAGAGAGAGGUUAGAGCAUGUGAAAGAACUUAGAUGAUGAUUAUUUAGAAAUAAAAAUGCUUCAGAUGAAAGACGUUUAAAGUUGGUAAUUCAGAUAAAGAUGAUGAAAGUUGGUAAGUGCAGGUUAUAAAUGUUGGAGGGUCUAAGAAGAUGUUUUAGGGUCUAUAAAUGCAAGGUAUAGAGAUGCAAGGAAGAUUUUUUUUAAAAAAAUAGGAAGUAUUUCAUAUUCUCCCCACAUGCUAUUGUUAUUUUAAAGUUCAGAUUUUUAACAUUGAUCAAUGGAGUUUUGAUAAGCUAACGGAACAUUGGCAGUUUACAAUUCAGUCACAAGCUCAAAAUUUUAAUUUCCUUUGGUUGUCUUCUGAAUAUAAACUUAAAGAUGCUUCUCAUCAUACUAAAAAAAAAAACUCCGUUUAAUCUAUAUAUUAUAGCUGCAAACCUAUAGCUUUCACUACUUUUCAAAUGUAUAAGUCCACUCCUUUUGUCUAUCAGACACCUGCUAACUACUUUUCCUAAAAUAAAUAUCACACACAGACGUUCCUGGACUUAACACGAUAUAUAUGUAGAAAAUAGCAGCCAAAAUAGAGGGAGGAGGGAAGGGUAUGUGGGAGUGUUUGGUGGGAGGAAAGGCAAGGAAGAAAUAUUGUAACUGUAAUCUCGAACAAGCAAACAAAUAAAUACAUAGUUUACAAAAUAAACUGAAAAGUCAUGAGUCUAGAAAAGAGACUU
Long non-coding RNA from Rattus norvegicus (Norway rat), 4599 nucleotides. RefSeq lists it as uncharacterized. Lineage: Eukaryota; Metazoa; Chordata; Mammalia; Rodentia; Muridae. The record is from RefSeq and is a predicted model, not a curated record.